This 347-nucleotide ribosomal RNA is filed under the name uncultured bacterium. RNAcentral describes it as "bacterial SSU rRNA". It matches the Rfam family "Bacterial small subunit ribosomal RNA", at positions 28 to 369 of the family's 1533-position model. The record is from RNAcentral.
GAUGAACGCUAGCGGCAGGCUUAAUACAUGCAAGUCGUGGGGCAGCAUGAGUGUAGCAAUACAUUUGAUGGCGACCGGCAAACGGGUGCGGAACACGUACACAACCUUCCUUCAAGUGGGGAAUAGCCCAGGGAAACUUGGAUUAAUACCCCGUAAUAUUAUGGAGUGGCAUCACUUUAUAAUUAUAGCUCCGGCGCUUGAUGAUGGGUGUGCGCCUGAUAGGUAGUUGGCGGGGUAACGCCCACCAAGCCUUCGAUCAGUAACUGGUGUGAGAGCACGACCAGUCACACGGGCACUGAGACACGGGCCCGACUCCUACGGGAGGCAGCGAGUAAGGAAUAUUGGGC